ACUUCCUCUUCUUCUAAAUCCUCUGAAAACUCCUCUCUAAAUCCUUCAUCCUACACUCACGUUUACACCCUCAACCACCCUAAAACACCUUCUUUUACCACCCAAAUGUCUUCUUAUAACCCCACAGUAGAUCACCACCUCCAGCCAACCUUCCCUCUCGUCACAAGACUCAACUGAAACCCAAAAACGGAGGCAGCAGGAGGCUGCCAUCACAGCUCCACCACCCCCUGUCACCCCGUUGCUCCAUUGUCACCCUCCCCUUACCUACCAGAAAACCACCUCUACCGCUACUGUGUACUACCUUGUGACACCCUCCAUCCUUCUCUUCCUUCGUCUUCAUCAAAACAGUAGCAGAAAACCAACAGCAGGAGGCUGCCGGCCUCCACCCAUCAUCACCGAACUACCAUUCUGCUGCAAGCUACCUCCACUGGCCACCACUUGUUGCCAUAGGAAAUCGAACUAAUCCCGGAGAUCACGACCUCACGGCAAUACAUUCUGGUCUUCAGAACUACUCAUUUACCACUCGAUAAGGAAAUCAGUGAAAUUUCGGGCACACUCAGACGAUGGAAAACAUGGCUCGCAAGUUCUUUAAUUUUUUUUUACUUUUGAACUGUUAUGCCUAACUGUUAAGGCAAACUUGUAUUAUUAUUUUAUUACUAUCUGUAAGAACCAUGUAUGAAAAUAUAAAAAUGUAAUGAAAUGUUGUUUUGUUUAUUGUUGUACUUGUGCUGUAUAUUCAAUUUAUCUGUGAUCCAUGAACUUAGUCGCACGGCCCGGUA
Long non-coding RNA from Lactuca sativa (garden lettuce), 779 nucleotides. RefSeq lists it as uncharacterized. The record is from RefSeq and is a predicted model, not a curated record. NCBI's taxonomy places the organism in Eukaryota, Viridiplantae, Streptophyta, Magnoliopsida, Asterales, Asteraceae.